AGCCAAGUCUGAUGCAGCAGGGGACACAGAGAGGCUGGUCGGAAAAGCAGCUAAUGUUCUCUGUCCCUGGCACUUCCCCCAGCAGCAGAGGGCAACCCCAGGUUCCAAGGAUCAACGGGGACAUCACAGGACUGAGUUCACAGGGAGCAGGUCUGAAGGGGCAGAGGAGCCGGGCAGAGCUGAGGAAGACUGAGGUGCCCAUGUUUCUCCUUUCUCCCUUUGCUUUUUGAGACAGGGUCUCGCUAUGAAGCCCAGGCUGGCCUCCAACUCACAGCGAUCCUCCUGCCUCAGCCUCCCGGUGCUGGGAUAACAGGUGUGCACCCCCACGCCCACCUGCAACUUCCUUCUGUCUUUGGAAACUCUCGGCAGAGCUCGUGAUGAUAGUCAGCUCUCAGCACCGGGGCGGUGUCCACUCUGUGCAACCCCAGGGGUUGACUGAAGGUCCCCGGGGGACAGUCUGAGAGCAAGCAAUGCUGGUGGCGAUGCAGGCCUGGCAGGAGGCGCACUGUCACAGAGCAGUUGCCUUUUCCAGGCCUGGUUCCCAGUUGCACGAGGAGAACGUGGGACACUGCGCCCGCUCGCCCUCACCUCUGACCGUGCUUGAGCCUGGCUUGAGGUGACCAGGGCUUGUCAGGAUUUGAACCCAGGGCCGGCCGGCUUCAAAGACCCUGCAAAUGCCAGGCAUGGUUUGCACACCUAUAAUCGCAGAUCUUGGGAGGCUGAGGCUGGAGGAUCACUGUGAGUUCAAGACCAGCCUGGGCUACAUAGAAAGCCAGCCUACCACUGGCUGGAGAGCAGGCCGAGCAGGUCUCUGCCACCACAGGGGUGGGGACGACACCAGCCCAGCACCUGGAGCCCCCGCCCCCUCCUGGGGGUUUGCACAGGGGCUCCCAGGGCAGUAGGAGUGCGUGUGCAGACACAGGCUGAAACAAUGCGGGAAAACCGAGCUCCACAGGAAACCGCGUUGGCCUGACUCAUGCGGACCCCUCCUCGACACAGAUGGGGAGCCGGCAGGCGGGAGACAGCAGGCGCCCCAUCCCGGCCCAGAGGAAGUGGGGGCUGCAGAGGGGGGCAACUUCCCAUGGCAGCCGGGUUGGGCUCUCUGUCCAAGAGCAAAGCAAUUCCUUUUAAAGAAAGAAGAGCAAGGCCCGGAGCAGCACAGUCAGCCCUGUCUCAGGGGCUCUGUCCCGGGUUCUGCAAGUCCUCAGCUGGGCCACCCACAGCACACAGGGACCCAGUCCCAGGCUCCCGCAGAUCUGGGGACCCGGGGCCAGGGCCAGGCAUCAACUCCGAUGCCUGUGCUUUCGACCCUCAGAGGGGCCACAGUUUCCCUGUCUCAGAGUAAGAGCUGCUCUAGGAAGCUCCUCCAGUGUCCCCAGGAAGUGCCACCAGCAGGCACCCAUUCCCAGGUCACGGGGCUCCCACUGUGGCACCCAUCCUGCCCCCAUCCGUUCCCUGUCCAUGGCUCAGCCCUUGGGGUUCUUUGGGCUCUGGCCUCUGCUGUGGCUACCUCCCAGCUUCCUCCCACUAUUUCUAUCAAACCCCAUGUUUCCUGAAGCUAUUAUGGUGUCAGAGCUUGGUGCCGCUUGCUUGCUCUUCUGACUGGUAGGUCGUUUCUUCUGUAAUUGUCUGAUGAACUCCUAUUCAUCCCUCAAUGCCCAACUCAAAUGUCCCCUUUUCCAUCCUCCAAAGAGUCUCUUCCUCCUCUAUGCUUCCAGGUCCCCUGACAAUCUUCUUGUCCUGACACCACCUUCCUCACAUCUUUUUCCAUCUGUCUCCUGCCCUGAACCAGGAAUUUAAUCUGUUAGGAAUUGUGUCUGAUUCAUCACCAGGUCUCUAGUGCUGAGCCCAGGGCCCUGCCACUUACUGAGCUUGAGUUAUUCCCUGGCGAGAGCGAGGGGAGGGUGAGUGUGGAGCCAGAGCUGACCUUCUGGCCUAGCUUACCUGCAGGCUGCAGCAAUGACUGCCCAGUGUCCUUCAGAACCUUCUCUAGCACCAAACACUGCUCUGCGGCCAGGAGGUUCCGAACCCAGGCCAGGAGGUUCAGAACCCAGGCCGGGGCUGGAGGAGGCGCUCAGAGCUGAGGGGGAUGCUCCGGGCUGGCUCUGUCCCAGCCAUGGCCCUCUCUGGGCCUCUGUGCCUGCUGUGUGUGGCCCAGCCUCUGAAGACUGCGGUGUCCAAGGGUCAGGGACUUAUGUGUGGAGUUUAUCUUCAGUCAUUUUCGGACCAUUUUCUCCAAACUUCUUUUUCCUUUGUUGCUGGGGAUGGAAUCCCAGUCCUCACACAUUCUAGGCAAGUGCUUUCCCAUUUAAAAUAUCCUCAGCUGGGUGUGGUGGUGCUUGCCUGUAAUGCCAGCACUCAGGAGGCUGAGGCAGGAGGACUGCUGCAAGAUAGAGGCCAGCCUGGACUACAGAGCGAGACCCUGCCUCAAAAACAAACAAACAAAAUAAAGUAAGAUAUCCUCACUGCCUUUAGGACAUCGCCCUCCCCGAGCCGUGGCUGUGCUGUGUCCCUGUGUGAGGACUCUGACAGUGCCACAUCCACAGCCCGGCGUCCUCUGGGGCCCCCACCUCGCCCUG
Molecule: long non-coding RNA, 2579 nt
Organism: Heterocephalus glaber (naked mole-rat)
Lineage: Eukaryota; Metazoa; Chordata; Mammalia; Rodentia; Bathyergidae
Source: Ensembl